This 816-nucleotide ribosomal RNA is filed under the name uncultured bacterium. RNAcentral's name for it is "bacterial SSU rRNA". It matches the Rfam family "Bacterial small subunit ribosomal RNA", at positions 62 to 890 of the family's 1533-position model. The record is from RNAcentral.
UCGACGGGCUCAUAUUGAACCUAGUGAUGUAUGAGUUAGUGGCGGACGGGUGAGUAACGCGUGGAGAACCUGCCGUAUACUGGGGGAUAACACUUAGAAAUAGGUGCUAAUACCGCAUAAGCGCACAGCUUCGCAUGAAGCAGUGUGAAAAACUCCGGUGGUAUACGAUGGAUCCGCGUCUGAUUAGCUGGUUGGCGGGGUAACAGCCCACCAAGGCGACGAUCAGUAGCCGGCCUGAGAGGGUGAACGGCCACAUUGGGACUGAGACACGGCCCAAACUCCUACGGGAGGCAGCAGUGGGGAAUAUUGCACAAUGGGGGAAACCCUGAUGCAGCGACGCCGCGUGAGUGAAGAAGUAUUUCGGUAUGUAAAGCUCUAUCAGCAGGGAAGAAAAUGACGGUACCUGACUAAGAAGCCCCGGCUAACUGCGUGCCAGCAGCCGUGGUAAUACGUAGGGGGCAAGCGUUAUCCGGAUUUACUGGGUGUAAAGGGAGCGUAGACGGCAGCGCAAGUCUGAAGUGAAAUCCCAUGGCUUAACCAUGGAACUGCUUUGGAAACUGUGCAGCUGGAGUGCAGGAGAGGUAAGCGGAAUUCCUAGUGUAGCGGUGAAAUGCGUAGAUAUUAGGAGGAACACCAGUGGCGAAGGCGGCUUACUGGACUGUAACUGACGUUGAGGCUCGAAAGCGUGGGGAGCAAACAGGAUUAGAUACCCUGGUAGUCCACGCCGUANACGAUGAUUACUAGGNGUUGGGGGACCAAGGUCCUUCGGUGCCGGCGCAAACGCAUUAAGUAAUCCACCUGGGGAGUACGUUCGCA